UCAUUAGCUCAGCUGGUAGAGCAGCAGACUCUUAAUCUGAAGGUCCGGGGUUCGAAACCCC
Molecule: transfer RNA, 61 nt
Filed under: human gut metagenome
Rfam family: tRNA
About the family: Transfer RNA (tRNA) molecules are approximately 80 nucleotides in length.
Source: RNAcentral